Pteropus alecto (black flying fox) is the source of this 1480-nucleotide long non-coding RNA. RefSeq lists it as uncharacterized. The transcript is spliced from 3 exons. The record is from RefSeq and is a predicted model, not a curated record. Lineage: Eukaryota; Metazoa; Chordata; Mammalia; Chiroptera; Pteropodidae.
CUUAAAUUAUAAUUUGAAUAGAAUAUUCUAGUUUCAUAAUUUGUACAUGUUUAUAUAACGUAAGAGUAAGAGAUGAAAGUUGGUGUUUGUAAAUGAAAUUACAUAUUUCUACCUAGCCUUCACUUUAUGUAGGCCAUACGCUUUUCAGAUUUAUGGGUAAAAGCUAUACAUAUCAGUGAGAAGCUAAGAUCAUGAUUAGGAUUAUAUUAUAACUCCAAAAUACAAUAUUUGUAGUAGUGUGAUUUGAGACUUGCUGAAAAGGACUGAAAGUUUUCCCAUAACUAGCUGUCUCAGAGCCGUACUUCUCUGUCAAUGGAGGUGUAUACAAUGGUUCAGAAGACCUUCACGAAAAGGCAGAUGCAAAAAUAGUUGGUGCCGAGGAGUAUCUUAAUUUAUCUUUAAUCGAGGAGAAAAUUAUUUUAAGCAUCAAAGCCAGGCCACUGACAGGAGAAAAAGACUUUUAAUAUGGAAUUGUCAAGUUUAAAAAAAGGUGGUAAAAAUUUCUCUAUCUCUAUAAGUUGUUUUGCUUUAAUAAACCUAAUAAUAAUAUGGAACUUUGGUUAUGAAAUUGGUAAAUCUGCAGGGUCUUUUCGAAUUGCUACUCUUCGGCUAUAUUUUAAAAAAUAGUUUGCAUGUUAUUAAAUACUUAAGAAAUUGAAGGACAAAAAAUUUUAUUUGCAUGAAGAUUAUUUAUGAUUAAUUAAUAAUAAAGAUACAGCAGUUAUUAUUUAUAAUUUAUCAGUGAGGAAAACUUGAUUCAAUUAAAAAUUGAUUUAUGUACAACACUUUAGGGUUGUAGCUAUUAGGGAAAGCAAGAGACAGAAGACAUUUAUAUUAACAAUAUAAAUCUGUAAUCCCAUUUCAGAAAUUGUCUUUUUUUUGUUAAAAUCACGUUAUGUUUUGUCACCUGAUUUUCAAGUAUUCUACAGGCGAGGUUUUGCCAAAUUGUCCCUCCUAGUGCUAGAAGGAAACUUGAAGGCAAUAUGAUACAGUAAAAAGAGUAUGGAGGUGAAUGGACUUGCAUUAAAUUUUGGUUUAGUUUCUUGCUUUGUGUUUUCAGGUAUAUUACUUUAUAUCUCUGAAACUCAGAUGUUGUAUCUGUAAAAGGGUGUUCUACUCUCUACCUUUAGAGUUAUUGUGAGGAUGGGGAAAUGUAUAUAAAAUGAGCAUACUUUGUCAAUGUGUUUUUAAGAGCAUGCCAUGUAAAACUCAUCACAUCCAUACCGAUGUCUCUCCUCCAAUGCAAACGGUACGGUGAGAAUGUUAACAUCUUUAUAUGGUGUACUGUAGUUCUAUUUAUAAUGCUUGAUUUGCAUUUUUAUCAAACAUGCCACAUAUUGCCCAUUCUGACAGGAAUUAUUGUUAGUCUGGCCUUCCCAUACUUACCCAUGUAGUUGAUUUUUUUAAAAACUCAAUUUCAGGACUUUAUGCUUAUUUUAUUGUAUUUUAAUCUUACCAAUAAAUGUCUUAUAAGUAUUAA